Long non-coding RNA from Centruroides sculpturatus (bark scorpion), 379 nucleotides. RefSeq lists it as uncharacterized. The record is from RefSeq and is a predicted model, not a curated record. Lineage: Eukaryota; Metazoa; Arthropoda; Arachnida; Scorpiones; Buthidae. The transcript has 4 exons.
AAGUGAUUGCAUUACAAGCGUUAUCACAGUAUUUAAUAGCAUCUAAACCCAGAGACAUAUCUCUAACGUGCAAUAUUUCGACGAGUCAUAACAAAGAAUUGGUGAAAACGGUGAAAAUUAACAAUGAAAAUGCCUUUGUCCUUCAACAAUUAGAGGUAAAGAAACUAAAUGGAAUCUUAUAUGUCAACGUGAGUGGAAAAGGAGUUGGAUCAUUAUCAGUAAAAUUAAGAUAUAAUGUAGCAAAUGUUGGAUAUCAAAUAUGCAAUUACAAAAUUACUGUACGUGUUUCUAAAGUAAAGGAGCAGUUUUCAGUACAGAAGAAUGGCAUUCAUUAUGAAGAAGGAAAUAAAACAGAUCCAGAAGUAUACAGAUCUGAAUG